CCAUCAUCGUGGCCAGCGGCGGGAGAUAUACGUAGGGGGGUAGUGUUGUCUCAUUGUGUGGUUCGGAAAGGUCGGGUAGGAGGCUUGUCAAGUCCUUUGUGAAAACGCGAGGCUCAACCUCGAGACGCCGGUGGAAACUGCAAGGCUAGGGUCCGGAAGAGGAGAGUGGAAUUCCUGGUGUAGCGGUGAAAUGCGCAGAUAUCAGGAGGAACACCCGUGGCGAAAGCGGCUCUCUGGGACGGUACUGACGCUGAGACGCGAAAGCGUGGGGAGCAAACAGGAUUAGAUACCCGAGUAGUC
This 300-nucleotide ribosomal RNA is filed under the name uncultured Pyrobaculum sp. Its description in RNAcentral is "bacterial SSU rRNA". It matches the Rfam family "Bacterial small subunit ribosomal RNA", at positions 497 to 795 of the family's 1533-position model. Lineage: Archaea; Thermoproteati; Thermoproteota; Thermoprotei; Thermoproteales; Thermoproteaceae. The record is from RNAcentral.